This 467-nucleotide ribosomal RNA is filed under the name uncultured bacterium. Its description in RNAcentral is "partial 16S ribosomal RNA". It matches the Rfam family "Bacterial small subunit ribosomal RNA", at positions 28 to 506 of the family's 1533-position model. The record is from RNAcentral.
GACGAACGCUGGCGGCGUGCUUAACACAUGCAAGUCGAACGGAAAGGCCCUGCUUUUGUGGGGUGCUCGAGUGGCGAACGGGUGAGUAACACGUGAGUAACCUGCCCUUGACUUUGGGAUAACUUCAGGAAACUGGGGCUAAUACCGGAUAGGAGCUCCUGCUGCAUGGUGGGGGUUGGAAAGUUUCGGCGGUUGGGGAUGGACUCGCGGCUUAUCAGCUUGUUGGUGGGGUAGUGGCUUACCAAGGCUUUGACGGGUAGCCGGCCUGAGAGGGAGACCGGCCACAUUGGGACUGGGAUACGGCCCAGACUCCUACGGGAGGCAGGAGUGGGGAAUAUUGCAAAAUGGGCGGAAGCCUGAUGCAGCAACGCCGCGUGCGGGAUGACGGCAUUCGGGUGGUAAACCGCUUUCGCCUGUGACGAAGCGUGAGUGACGGUAAUGGGUAAAGAAGCACCGGCAAACUACGU